RNAcentral lists this long non-coding RNA (372 nucleotides) under Malus domestica (apple). RNAcentral's name for it is "long non-coding RNA (MDOM_LNC013996)". The record is from RNAcentral. Lineage: Eukaryota; Viridiplantae; Streptophyta; Magnoliopsida; Rosales; Rosaceae.
UACACCCACCUAACCUUCGUCUAAUCUACCCAACUCUGCCCAGCUCUACCUAAUACAACCUAGUUUCGCCUAGUCGUUUGCCUAAAAUGCUUUCCGAUUUUAGGACCGAUUACAAGUUAAGUUAAUCGCGGUGGUAACUGACUGUUUUGCGCCUAGACGCAUCCUAAGCGGCUGCUUAGGUUGAUUUUUAGAACAAUGGUCCACACUUUUCCUGUGUUUUCUUCUUUUCUUUUUUCCUUUUUGUUGUCUGCAAUAAGCCCACCCCAUUUUUUGUCCUUAUCUACACCCUUCUUGCCAUUAUUUUCACCAUUUAGAUCCCAAAUUCCAUAUCUUCCUGAUAGACGCAUAUUUAUGCGACUUAGUUAACUAGUU